This is a long non-coding RNA of Heterocephalus glaber (naked mole-rat), 883 nucleotides long. The record is from Ensembl. NCBI's taxonomy places the organism in Eukaryota, Metazoa, Chordata, Mammalia, Rodentia, Bathyergidae.
AAAGAUAGGUUAACAAGAGAAAAGCAUCACUCACUUACUUGAUUUGCUUUUGAACUGGGGAUCAAACCCAGGGCCUCAUGCAUGCUAAGCAUGCACUCUACCACUGAGCUAUACCUCUAGCCCCAUUAUGUAUUUAUUAAUAUGCAUAAGUAUGGGAGUCAUAUAAAAUGCAAAACUCUCGAGUUCUAUCCCUGGUACCCCCCAAAAAAUACAAAAUUCAAAGGCAGGGCCCUAUGGUUGAAGGUUAACUUCUCUUCUUCAUAAGGGAGAGGGAAGUGGAGCCCGUUGGCAAUUUUAGAAGGGUGGCACAUAAUUUCUAGAAGAAAUAAAUGCAUCCUGAAAACACACAGUACCCUGAGACAAAAUUCCUCUGGGCUCUGGGUGCUGGGUUUUCUCUUUAGUCUCCUCCCCUAUAAUACACCUUUAGUUUUUCUUGGUUAAUAAAAUUUCAGUAAGAAGAUUGAAGACAAUUGUAUUCCUCUUUGGUCGAUCUGGUCUCUAGAUACAUAAAGGAACCUCAGGGCAACCUUGCCCUGUGUUUUGGAAGAGAAAGAGGAUCAGAGACAGAAGAUAUUCACAAAAGAGAACUUCUAGAACUGCUUCAGAAACUGGAAAGAAUGAUAGCAGGCAGCGAAACCACUGAGCUAAUUCCCCAGCCCUUUACCAGCUUUUUCUACCACCAGUUCUGUACUAUCUCCCAUCUCCUUGAGUCCCAACACCAAAGGAUCCCAGAGUUCUCUCAUGCUCUUCCUGCCAAGUGAAGCUAUGAGAAGUCAGCCUUAUAUAAUGGGAAAAGGGCCCUCAUCAGGACCAGACACUGCUGGAAACCUGAUCUCAGACUUCCAUUGUCCAGACCAGGGAGAAAUAAAUUUCUGUUGUUUAC